Molecule: ribosomal RNA, 400 nt
Filed under: uncultured bacterium
Lineage: Bacteria
Description: bacterial SSU rRNA
Rfam family: Bacterial small subunit ribosomal RNA
Source: RNAcentral
UUAGGAAUUUUGCGCAAUGGCCGAAAGGCUGACGCAGCAACGCCGCGUGAGGGAUGAAGGCCUUCGGGUUGUAAACCUCUUUUGUCAGGGAAAAAUAAAUUGAUGGUACCUGAAGAAAAAGCACCGGCGAACUCUGUGCCAGCAGCCGCGGUAAUACAGAGGGUGCAAGCGUUAUUCGGAUUUACUGGGCGUAAAGGGCGUGUAGGCGGUUUGGUAAGUUCAAUGUGAAAGCCCCGGUCUCAAAUCGGGAAGUGCAUUGGAUACUGCUAGACUAGAGUGCAGGAGAGGAGAUCGGAAUUCCAGGUGUAGAGGUGAAAUUCGUAGAUAUCUGGAGGAACAACAGUGGCGAAGGCGGAUCUCUGGACUGUAACUGACGCUGAGGCGCGAAAGCGUGGGGAGC